RNAcentral lists this ribosomal RNA (406 nucleotides) under uncultured bacterium. RNAcentral's name for it is "partial 16S ribosomal RNA". It matches the Rfam family "Bacterial small subunit ribosomal RNA", at positions 360 to 773 of the family's 1533-position model. The record is from RNAcentral.
AAUAAUGGGCAAUGGAUAGAACUCUGACGCAGCAACGCCGUGUGAGCGAUGAAGGUAUUCGGAUCGUAAAGCAAUUUCCUUGGGGAAGAAGGUCUUCGGACUUGACGGUACCCAAGGUGGCAGCACCGGCUAACUACGUGUCUACAGCCGCGGUAAUACGUAGGGGGCAAGCGUUGUCCGGAAUUAUUGGGGGUAAAGGGUGCGUAGGCGGCCUUUUAAGUCAGGUGUGAAAGCCCACGGCUUAACCGUGGGAUUGCAUUUGAAACUGGAAGGCUUGAGUAUCGGAGAGGGUAGUGGAAUUCCCAGUGUAGCGGUGGAAUGCGUAGAUAUUGGGAGGAACACCAGUGGCGAAGGCGACUACCUGGACGAAAACUGACGCUGAGGCACGAAAGCUAGGGGAGCAAAC